GGGAGACUACGACUCGAGCCUAGAUGUUAUCAUGCAAAUCAUCCCUAAGUUAAGGUUGCUAUCUAACUUGCACAGGGAGCAUACAAAGGGAGACACAACUAGGGAGACUACGACUCGAGCCUAGAUGUUAUCAUGCAAAUCAUCCCUAAGUUAAGGUUGCUAUCUAACUUGCACAGGGAGCAAGCUAUCCUAAGCAGCACAGGCAAAAGAAAACA
This 215-nucleotide long non-coding RNA is filed under the name Lathyrus oleraceus (garden pea). Its description in RNAcentral is "Pisum sativum (pea) long non-coding RNA (PSAT_LNC015606)". Lineage: Eukaryota; Viridiplantae; Streptophyta; Magnoliopsida; Fabales; Fabaceae. The record is from RNAcentral.